GCGUUUGCUUCGGCAGCACAUUUACUAAAACUGGAAUGAUACAGAUAAGAUUAGUAUGGCCCCUGUGCAAGGAUGACAUGCAAAUUCAUGAAGCGUGUCACAUUUUU
Small nuclear RNA from Jaculus jaculus (lesser Egyptian jerboa), 107 nucleotides. NCBI's taxonomy places the organism in Eukaryota, Metazoa, Chordata, Mammalia, Rodentia, Dipodidae. The record is from Ensembl.